GGGGCUGUAGCUCAGCUGGGAGAGUACCUGCUUUGCAAGCAGGGGGUCAGCGGUUCGAUCCCGCUCAGCUCCACCA
Molecule: transfer RNA, 76 nt
Filed under: Rhizobium leguminosarum bv. viciae
Lineage: Bacteria; Pseudomonadati; Pseudomonadota; Alphaproteobacteria; Hyphomicrobiales; Rhizobiaceae
Description: tRNA-Ala
Rfam family: tRNA
About the family: Transfer RNA (tRNA) molecules are approximately 80 nucleotides in length.
Source: RNAcentral